CAUGUCUCAUAUGCAAUGAGCUCCUCCAUCAUCACAUAAUCACCUGUGGACUAAUCUCCUGUGUAUCUCAUAUAAACACUAUUAGUCCACUAAAUUGUCACUCAAUUACCAAAACCAAAUAAGGACCUUUCACGCGCCCCGCCCUAUCCGGCCAGCAGUGCCCUCCAUGGCCACCGUGCCGAUGCACCUUUCUUCCCAACGCGAGCUCUCCCUCCCUCCCUUCUCCGGUGCUGAGGUCACCCCUUCCUAACGCGAGCUCUCCCUCCCUCCCUCCCUCCGGCGCUGAGAUCACGCUGUUCCCUGGAUGGGCCACGUCGGCGUGGGUCAGGCAGUGCACAAGCUCAGCCGCUGCCUGAUGGGGUGGCUGCCCUUCUUCUCCCUCGGCCAGAUCGACGAUGGAGUGGCUGCUCUUCUUCUCCCCUGACCGGAUCUACAACAGAAUGGCAAGCUGACGACGUGCCGCGCUCUUCGCCCACUCCCAGGGGCUACGCAGGGAGCACAUAGACUAUGAGGGCUACUCUUUGCUACUGGAUCCAUCAUCGAGUUGUUUGAGGUCCCAUGAUUCAUGGAUCUAGAGGAAGACAAAACCAACGCCAUGGCUUUUGAUUUCAUCUCCCAUCUGGAUUCCAUGCCUCUGCCUUCCAAUCCUUCUGGUUUUUUGAUUAGUCAAUGUUGCCAUGGAUUGUGCUGAGUCUUGUCAAUUUAUUUCAUUUUUCAUUCUAAAUUUCUAGUUGAUUCUCCUGUUGGGCUACUACUAUUACCAGAGCUGAAAGCACAUUUAGGACACAUGAACAAAUAGAACAGUUGUAAGAAAAAGUACAGUUUGACAGAGUAAGUUUCUCCUUUAAACACAGUUUGAAUGUGAUACUAAGUACAUGAUGGAAAUAUCAGAUUUCUAACCUUAAGCUCUUUGUUCUUUCAGGGUUACAGAUUCCUUUAAACAUUGUUUUAUUAAAAUAAAUUUUAGAGGAAUGGUUUGCUUCAGUUAACAUACAAUUCACAUCUUUGAUUCCUUUAAACAUUGUAUCCCUUUUUUGUGGAUAUUAAAUUAUGGAAUGGUAAGAUGUGCUCAACUAACUACUAGGUAUAAUAUUAAAUUAUUUUUGUAGUCAACAGUCAAUAGGCAACACAUAGAGCACACUAGUCUGUGAUUGUAGUCAACAAAGAUGGUACUGGUGAACCCAGCCAGGCACACUGGGAUUCUAGGAAUUUGCCAAUAUGAGAUGAUCCAAAUGAUUUAAGCUACUGAUUCUAUCAUUUUUUCUGAAAUUUUUGGAUGCUGCUACCAGCCUGUGAACAGCAAGCCAAUCAUAGUACUAAUGAUUGUGCAACCAACUGAUUCAUUGGUCAUGACCUGAUGGCUAUAUGGUUGAGGAUUUGGAGCUCCUUUUAUGGAAGUAGAAGGAAUGCUAGCAGUUUGUACUUCUAAUGUUUUUCAGUGCCUUUGAGGCUGACCUUGCAGAUGCCAUUCCUGUGGUCAAGACAUCUAUUGGUGGCACCAGAAUAAUAGGUCGACUCUGUGUUGGUGUAAGUUAUUUUCCAGCUAGUUUUGUUGGUUCAUCAUAUUGGUAGGAUGGAUCUAGCUACAGUAGUGGAAUUCUGAAUUUUAUUUGUAAAGGGUGUGUUUCCUGAACUACAUAUGAAUGAACAAUCUUAAAAGUUUAUUUUC
Molecule: long non-coding RNA, 1669 nt
Organism: Sorghum bicolor (sorghum)
Lineage: Eukaryota; Viridiplantae; Streptophyta; Magnoliopsida; Poales; Poaceae
Exons: 2
Source: RefSeq, a predicted model, not a curated record